UAGGAAAUUUGAGAAGACCUGUCCUUAGUACGAGAGGACCGGGAUGGACGUACCUCUGGUGUACCAGUUGUUCUGCCAAGGGCAUGGCUGGGUAGCUAUGUACGGAAUGGAUAAGCGCUGAAAGCAUCUAAGCGCGAAGCCAACUUCAAGAUAAGAUUUCCCACCGCAAGGGUAAGACCCCAGAAAGACUAUCUGGUUGAUAGGUCGAAGGUGUAAGUGCAGCAAUGUAUUUAGCUUAUCGAUACUAAUAGGUCGAGGACUUGACCAAU
RNAcentral lists this ribosomal RNA (269 nucleotides) under Clostridioides difficile. Its description in RNAcentral is "partial 23S ribosomal RNA". It matches the Rfam family "Bacterial large subunit ribosomal RNA", at positions 2654 to 2925 of the family's 2925-position model. The record is from RNAcentral. Lineage: Bacteria; Bacillati; Bacillota; Clostridia; Peptostreptococcales; Peptostreptococcaceae.